This 128-nucleotide small RNA is filed under the name Marmota monax (woodchuck). The record is from RNAcentral. Lineage: Eukaryota; Metazoa; Chordata; Mammalia; Rodentia; Sciuridae.
GCUGGGUGUAGUGGCGUGUGCCUGUAAUCUCAAGCAGUUUAGGAGGCUGAGGCAGGAGGAUCGAAAGUUCAAAGCCAGCCUCCGCAAUUUAGCAAGGCCUUAAACAAAUUAGUAAUAUCUUGUCUCAA